This 2212-nucleotide ribosomal RNA is filed under the name Acanthaspidia drygalskii. RNAcentral's name for it is "SSU rRNA". It matches the Rfam family "Eukaryotic small subunit ribosomal RNA". The record is from RNAcentral. Lineage: Eukaryota; Metazoa; Arthropoda; Malacostraca; Isopoda; Acanthaspidiidae.
GGUUGAUCCUGCCAGUAGUUAUAUGCUUGUCUCAAAGAUUAAGCCAUGCAUGUCUGAGUACAGACCUAAAUCUAAGGUGAAACCGCGAAUGGCUCAUUAAAUCAGUCGUAAUUCCUUGGAUAGUGAAAAAACUUCCUCGGAUAACUGUGGAAAAUCCAGAGCUAAUACGUGCAUCUGAGCUCCGACCUCGGCGUGAGUCGUGGGAAGAGCGCAUUUAUUAGAUUCAAAACUGACCGACGUACUCCUUCGGGAUGCGUCGCAAUGUCAUACUUGAUGACUCCGGAUAACUUUGCCGAGCGCUACGUCCUUUGUGGCGGCGCCGUAUCUUUCAAGUGUCUGCCUUAUCAGCUUUCGAUUGUAGGUUAAAUGCCUACAAUGGCUGUAACGGGUAACGGGGAAUCAGGGUUCGAUUCCGGAGAGGGAGCCUGAGAAACGGCUACCACAUCUAAGGAAGGCAGCAGGCACGUAAAUUACCCACUCCCAGUUCGGGGAGGUAGUGACGAAAAAUAACGAUGUGAGACUCUUCCGAGGCCUCACAAUCGGAAUGAGUGCAUUCUAAACAUUUGGACGAGGAUCCAUUGGAGGGCAAGUCUGGUGCCAGCAGCCGCGGUAAUUCCAGCUCCAAUAGCGUAUAUUAAAGUUGCUGCGGUUAAAAAGCUCGUAGUUGGACCUACUAGAUCCAACUUGUGCGGUGGUGGCUUGUUGUACGCGCGUUCUACGCGGUCCCUCGGGGUAUCCCUCCUGGUAGCUCUUCUGGGGCGAUGUGUGUGUGUGUUGGGUGGGGGUUAGGGAUGUCGCUUGGUUCUCUGUCAAGAGAGGACGGGUGGAGUCUCUUUCUUUCUCGCCUGGCUCGCGCGCGCUCGUUGCUGGAGGAUGUCCAUUGGGUUGUGUGUCUUCCGGGCGGGCGGUAGAGCGUAGUCUCUGAGUAUAGCCAGUGUGCGUUUGGUACAAUUAAAAUUUUGUCGGCUCGCUCGGAGUGCUCUUUACCGAGUGUUCCAGGGUGGCCGACACGUUCACUUUGAAAAAAUUAGAGUGCUUAAAGCGGGCCGAAAUGUCGCCUGAAUGUUGUUGCAUGGAAUGAAGGAACAGGACCUCGGUUCUGUUCUUUUUGUCGGUUUUAAUGAACCGAGGUAAUGAUUAAAAGGAACAGACGGUGGCAUUAGUAUUGAGUCGCUAGAGGUGAAAUUCUUGGACCGACUCAAGACUGACUACUGCGAAAGCAUUUGCCAAGAAUGUUUUCAUUAAUCAAGAACGAAAGUUAGAGGAUCGAAGGCGAUCAGAUACCGCCCUAGUUCUAACCCUAAACAAUGCUAACUAGCGAUCCGUCGGAGUCAUUCCCACGACUCGACGGGAAGCCCCAGGGAAACCAAAGUCUUUGAGUUCCGGGGGAAGUAUGGUUGCAAAGCUGAAACUUAAAGGAAUUGACGGAAGGGCACCACCAGGAGUGGAGCUGCGGCUUAAUUUGACUCAACACGGGAAACCUCACCAGGCCCGGACAUCAGAAGGAUUGACAGAUUGAGAGCUCUUUCUCGAUUCGAUGGGUGGUGGUGCAUGGCCGUUCUUAGUUGGUGGAGUGAUCUGUCUGGUUGAUUCCGAUAACGAACGAGACUCUACCCUACUAACUAGUCGGCGGAUCGUAACCCCGAGAUGGGUGGAACUGAAAGCGAUCGUAUUAAACGUGCCCGAACGUGGUGUCAUUGCGCGCAUCUCUUCGGAUUUGUUGCGGGGUUAGCUGCGUGUCGGGUAGCAAUGACGUUUCGAGAUAGGUUUCACUUAAUGGGGGCGUCCGUCGCAAUGUAUCUUCUUAGAGGGAUCAGCGGCGUCUAGCGCACGAGAAAGAGCAAUAACAGGUCUGUGAUGCCCUUAGAUGUUCUGGGCCGCACGCGCGCUACAAUGUAGGGCUCAGCGUGACAUCCUUCUCCGAAAGGAGCAGGUAACCACAUGAAACCCCUACCCGAUUGGGAUUGGGGAUUGCAAAUGUUUCCCAUAAACGAGGAAUUCCUAGUACGCGCGAGUCACUAGCUUGCGUUGAUUACGUCCCUGCCCUUUGUACACACCGCCCGUCGCUACUACCGAUUGAAUGAUUCAGUGAGGGCAUCGGACUGGCGCCUUUGGUUGCAACAUAUCUUAGGCUGACGGAAAGAUGUCCGAACUUGAUCAUUUAGAGGAAGUAAAAGUCGUAACAAGGUUUCCGUAGUGAACCUGCGGAAGG